GUUCUGAGUCUGGAUACAGGAUUUCUGCAGAUCUUGACCAAAGACAGUCUGACGCUGAGGUGUGAGGUUGAGGGAAGCUCUGUUGGAUGGAGCUACACGUGGUACGCAGAUGGAUCUCAGCUUCCUGAAGACCAGGAUGGACAGACCUUCACUGUGAGAUCUGGGAAUGGCUCCUAUCACAGGGAAUACAGAUGUAGAGGGAACAGAACUGAAGAACCAUUUUACUCCACAAUCAGCAAUGGUUUGGUGCCCAACCACAUUAGACUGCAGUAUGUUAGUGGGGUGUCUGGCUCCCUGGUUGGCAUCAUAAGCCUGGUGCUGAUCACAGUUUGUGUGAAAUAUUGCAGGAAGUCAUCAGGUCAAAGGGGCAAAGAGGAGGAAACAUUUUACUGUGAGGUUAGAUUAGAAGACGUGUGUGCAGGAGACGCAGACCAACCUCCCACCAUUUAUGCAGAGGUCAGUCAUGCAGCAGGAACAGCAGGUGCUCAGGAACAUGGCUGUUCAUUUGUUGUUCAGUUAAAGUCUUCAGAUUGAACUAGCAUCAUAACUACAGUAAAUAUCUUUUUUUUAACAUUAAGAUUUGUUAUAGAAUGUGGAGAUUAUGGCACUUUUAUGUUACUCCAUUUGUUUUAUAUGUCAGCUACACAUCUGAUAAAGUAAAUGCAUUGUAUUUUUGAAUUUUAUUAACAUCUGUAUUGAUGGAGAAUGUGUGCAGUUCUUUAUUGUUUUUAGAUCUUGCUCUGCUUGUUAGGUUUUAAAAUAAAUUAACUGGUUGGAUGCUUGUGGCUUGAGAGUGAAACAGAAACUUCAAAAGAACUGGCUAGUGUGUCGCUUUGGACAGACGCUUUUGCUAAACAAAUGAGUAAAUGCAGCUGUUUUUUCAUGAGUGUGGCUCAGUGCUGCCUGUGCUGUUGUUAAGCGAUUCAGUGGUUGCAGUAUCUUUACAAAUAAUCGAAACACCACAACCUUUGCACUGUCCUUCAACAAGCACUCAGUGCUCUGCUGAAGUCUUUUAAAAGUGUUUCUGUAUCGUUUUGUUCCCACAUUUGCAAUCUGUGACAGAUAUUCUCUCAAGCUGUGUUUUUCUGUAAUAGAUUCAAUAAUGGCUUGGGAGAGAUCCACACUUCAGAAUGUACAGGGACAAUUACAAAUCCCACCAUGUUUGUUGGUCUCCUGCAUCCUAUUUUUUAUUUUAUUUUUUACUGGAAUAAAAUGCAUGUUCUCA
Brienomyrus brachyistius is the source of this 1225-nucleotide long non-coding RNA. RefSeq lists it as uncharacterized. NCBI's taxonomy places the organism in Eukaryota, Metazoa, Chordata, Actinopteri, Osteoglossiformes, Mormyridae. The transcript has 5 exons. The record is from RefSeq and is a predicted model, not a curated record.